This 445-nucleotide ribosomal RNA is filed under the name uncultured bacterium. RNAcentral's name for it is "partial 16S ribosomal RNA". It matches the Rfam family "Bacterial small subunit ribosomal RNA", at positions 354 to 796 of the family's 1533-position model. The record is from RNAcentral.
GUGAGGAAUAUUGCGCAAUGGAGGCAACUCUGACGCAGCCAUGCCGCGUGCAGGAAGAAGGCGCUACGCGUUGUAAACUGCUUUUAACCGGGAAGAAACCCCAGGACGUGUCCUGGGUUGACGGUACCGGAGGAAUAAGCACCGGCUAACUUCGUGCCAGCAGCCGCGGUAAUACGAAGGGUGCAAGCGUUAUCCGGAUUCAUUGGGUUUAAAGGGUGCGUAGGCGGAGCGUUAAGUCAGUGGUGAAAUCCUGCAGCUUAACUGUAGACUUGCCAUUGAUACUGGCGUUCUUGAGUGCGCUUGAAGUGGGCGGAAUGUGCCGUGUAGCGGUGAAAUGCUUAGAUAUGGCACAGAACACCAAUUGCGAAGGCAGCUCACUAAGGCGAUACUGACGCUGAGGCACGAAAGCGUGGGGAUCGAACAGGAUUAGAUACCCUAGUAGUCC